RNAcentral lists this unclassified non-coding RNA (1232 nucleotides) under Acanthaster planci (crown-of-thorns starfish). Its description in RNAcentral is "receptor-type tyrosine-protein phosphatase kappa- like, transcript variant X1". Lineage: Eukaryota; Metazoa; Echinodermata; Asteroidea; Valvatida; Acanthasteridae. The record is from RNAcentral.
AGUAAGGUGGUCCUUGCCGGACAUCAGUCAAAAUAAGUGCAGCAUGCGUUACAUCAUCGAGUACGAGUUAACGAGGAGAGACCUCUGCGAUCCCAUAAACCAUCCUCAUCGCGUACUUGCUGGCAACCAGACAUCCACAUCUAUAACCAUCCAUCGUGUCCAGGCCUACUCUACCUAUAAAGUUUACGUCAGGACAUGGAACCAAGCAGGAGCUGGCGCGGAGAGGUCUGGAACCACGAAUACGCGCUCUUUUGAAGAGCCGUCUGAAGGACCCACAAACAUUACAGUUACUUCUCGGAUGCGGCACAGCAUUGUAUUCGCUUGGAGUGAAAUACCUUGUGGUCACAGACAUGGCCAAAUUCGGGAUUACCAGACAAGGCUCAGGGCACUGGAAAAGCCAUAUGAUUUGGCGUUUACGCCCGCUGAUACCUAUGAGACUGUCAACGUCUCGCCCUCCUCUAUGUUAUACGCUAGUGACGUGUUAGAACCAGCAACGAAAUACGAGUUUCUGGUCGCUGGCGUUAACGAGCAUGGAGCCGGAAAGUGGGCACGGAUCGAGGCCUUCACCACCGUGGAAACGGGAAUGGACCCGCCUCCUAGGCCAUCCAGCGAUCCCUCAAAAUCAACCAAUUCGACAGUUACCAUCAACGUGAAGUUACCUUUACGGUCGCGGUACAUAACUGGCAUCCAAAUUGGUGUGAAGGAGGUCUACUCAGAUAGAAAAAUGGAAAUCUUGACAACCAAACGCCCAGCCGACUUCACACCAGAUUAUGUAGCGGGAGAACUGAGCAAAGCGGACCUCGAAGAAACAUUUACCGUGGGUGACGGGCAUACGUAUGGUGCAUUCCAUAACCAGCCUCUGCACCCUGACACGGAAUACGACAUCUAUCUGGGUUCAGUGAGCAGGGUUUCAGACACAGAAUUUGCAGUAUCGUGGGGAGAGCCACUUCGGGUAAAAGUGCGGGCCAACUAUUUCUUGCCAGUAGCUGCCGUGGCAGUGCCGAUUCCUUUGGUCAUCAUCCUUGCAGUACAGUCGCUGGAGUGAUCUUUGUAAGAAAGAAGCUAGGAAGGAGACGACAGGACAGCGCUCACAUUGGUGGAGUGAGUGGUGAUGUUGAGCUUCGAGAAGGCCCAUUACGACAUGCAAAAGCAAAUCCUUAUUGGAACGAGGAAGCGCCAUAUGAACCUAUUGCAAUACUGUGUGAGUCGGAUUCGAUUGCAAAGUCGAUGGG